Pygocentrus nattereri (red-bellied piranha) is the source of this 1843-nucleotide long non-coding RNA. RefSeq lists it as uncharacterized. The transcript is spliced from 6 exons. Lineage: Eukaryota; Metazoa; Chordata; Actinopteri; Characiformes; Serrasalmidae. The record is from RefSeq and is a predicted model, not a curated record.
UACUGAACCUCUGAAUGUGGCUGUAGCUGACAGGUUCCACACGGGACUAGAACAAGAGGGCUUCGUUUCUGUUCUCCUCCGGAUCUGGAGGGGCUGCUUGUGAAAGCAUUGGUGUCACUUGUUAAAAACGCUCAACAAGAGAAACGCGCGAUUGGCAAAAGAGCUGAUCAAGUUGCGGGAGCUCGUGUUUGCAGUUACAAAUGCUCGAGCUGAGAUGAGAUGAGCCUUCAGCGCGCGACAAGGAGAGAUGAUGAUUGUUAGAGAGCUGCUGCGCGUCUGCGCCUUUUGCUUGAAGUGUCAAAGCUGAGCCGGAGCUGCUGCAGCGAGACAGGCAGGCGAGCAGGCGGGCAGGGCUGGGGCUUCUGCCGCCGCCGCCGCCGCCGCCGCCGCUGACACGGUGAAACGGUGCCUGAGCUGCUGAUUGACAACGCUUUGGCUGGAUCCUGACACGGAAGCUUGUAAAGGAGCAGAUAAAGCGUCGACUUCCAGGGGAGGGAGAGAAAAACACGACAAACCUUUGCUUGUAAGCGCGCUGACUCGCAGAGCAGCAGCAAAGCCCAACUUUUCCCCCAGCGCCGCUAGCACCGCCAACUAGCGAGCUAAUUUACAGCGGAAAACGGCCAAAUGGGGUCGUGACUUAUUCAUGCUUUACGCUACGACAUCAUGAUUAUUCACUCUGUUCACCUCUGAACACCCAGCACUGCCUUGCCUCGUGUCUCCCAGUCUCUCUCUCUUUUCUCUCUCUCUCUCUCUCUCUCUCUCUCUCUCUCUCUCUCUGCAUAACCUGCUCUGUUAGCCUUCAUCCCAAGGACUCCAAGCAAAAAGGACAACGGCGUGUUGUAAACACUCAGCACACAGACCGCAACCCCCCCAAAACAGCCCGGACUCAUCAUAACCGAGCGUUCAACCUACCUUUAAGGCGAGGAACUGAGUAAAAAAGCGACAACUUUGCUCAUGACACUUCCAUUACUGCUCCAUUUAGUCGCCCAUCCAUUACACUGUCGCCAUUUUGCCUAAAAUCCUGCAGGUUGGACUAUAACUCGGAGAGGGGUGUCUGCUCGGUGGGCUUCGAAAUCGCAGCACCUUCUCAAGGCGACCUCGAAGGGUUUCAGUCUUGUAAACUUACAGGAAGGACACGCUGUUCGCUCUUGUCUGACUAGCUAAUACAGUCUUUCUGUCAUUUAUAGAGGUGGUCUUACGUGUCUAAGGGUGGACCCCUGCUCGGACUGUGGAUUAUUCCGAAAACAAGCGGUUAUAAAAUUCUAGGGUGAAGUUGCUGUGGCUCGAAAAAUGUCUUGGCUGGUGGGCAGAGAGUGUGAGAGGGCACAGUGACCUGCUCAGGGCAGUCCAGAAGACCUCAGUAGCUUAACAUUUGAUGCGGCCAGAAAUGGGUCUUCUGUGGAUUAUUUCAAAAUGAGGUCGUCAAAUUCUUGGCUGAGGUGGCUGUCAUCAGAUUGGAAAUCUAGUCUGUGGCUAAGAAGUCCUAAUAAAACUGCGAGGAGUCUGCUGAGUCACUGAUGUUCUGGUUUGGUGACCCUGCACCGAGGACACUGCAACUUUGCAACAUUCCACAUACAGCAUUAAACUCUUCGCACAUCUGGUUACUAGCAAUACCUCUGAAAACAACUGACUUGAUAGGUCUCCCCCAUUAUGCAUGAUGCGCCAAUUUGGGAGGGUGAAGGCUAGCACGUGCUCCCUCUGGGUGACCUUGAAGUGCUACAGGUCCCUUCUACAGUGGGCCAGAGAACACUUACAGAUACUUCAUCCCCUCCACCUCUCCAAAACUGCUGUCCACUAAAUAUGAACUAUUACUUGUAUAAAUAAACUGAUUUAUAUUGCUGAA